UGAGAAUUGAUCAGGACAUGG
RNAcentral lists this non-coding RNA (21 nucleotides) under Rattus norvegicus (Norway rat). Lineage: Eukaryota; Metazoa; Chordata; Mammalia; Rodentia; Muridae. The record is from RNAcentral.